GACAACCUCAGAAUAGAAUUGAAUAAAUCAAGUUUAUCAUUAAAACGCAAAGAAAAAAAAACUCUCCAAACGUUGCUGAUCUUCUGUUUUAAACUACUGUUAGACUGGUGAGCUGGAGAGCCGGGGGAAUCCACCAAAGAUUUUUGGAUGAAAAUUAAUCAUCCCUUGUCCACCGUAGUCGCACCCCAAUGCCCCUCAGAUCCAGUCCUUCGAAGGAGUGUCCAAGAGGUAUAAAGCAAAACCGGAAAAACAGUUCCCAAAUUCUGGAGUUUGUUUUCUCUCAUUAAAAAUAUAAAUAUCAGGCUAACACCUAUUGACACACAAUAACAGGGACACAGAAUCCCUCCCGGAAGACCCAUGGGCCCACGGACCCCGCGGAUGCCACAGUGGUUGACGAGGUUAAGUAACUGGGUUCAGGGUGUCUGGGCAUACCUGUGCGUGAGACUCUGUCUCCGCUGCUCCCCUCAUCUCCACUGCUCCCCUCGUCUCCCCACGAUCCUCCCUUUUCCUUGGGCCGCUGAUGGCUCUCCGACUCACGAAGAGUCUCCCUGGCCCCUGCAGCUCUCUCCUUCCCAGACCUUUACUUCUUGAUCCUCACUCCAUAGUGAGAUGUGGCCUAAGGUAGGGGAAAGUCCAGCACGAGAAUCCGUCUGAUGGCCUUUGGAUUACUCAGGGGUGUGCCCGGAGACUAGAUGAAAGUAGCAAAGGCUUUAUUUAGUUCCCAGUACUCCAAACUGCAGCAAACCACCGGAAACACCCCCACUUUCAAAGACAGGCUUUGAGCAGAGGAAAUGUAAUUUCAAGAUUAGAUCCAGCACAGAGAAUAUUCCAGAGGUGGCAGGUUUAGCUUCCAGCCACCACGACUCAAGGCCCCUAAAUGCUGUACAGCCUGUGUAGUACAAUAACUUUGUUGGCUAGAAAUGUAAUAGCCCUUCAAGCAUGAACUUGGAGCAUGAAGGGUAAGAAGGCCUGCUUUGGCCGGGAGUUGAACCCAGGUCUCCCGCGUAGGUGGGGAGAAUGCCACCGCUGAACUACCAAUGCUCCACUGAGUGCGGUUUCACUAGAUCUAAUUUUGAAGAGUCUCUGGAAGGACUUUGAAGCAGUGUUUCUAAAAUAGAUUUGUAUAGGACUCUUGAGUAGACACACCGAGCAAACAGAAAGGACACCCAGAGCAAAGCCUUGCAUAGGAGACGUAUGUCAGGCAACAUUAUCAAGUUAUUUAUAAUGGCAUUUAAAUCAACAUACCAGAUUUGAAAGAGCCUAAUUGUGAAACAGGCUCUAUACAACUAGAUAACAGACCUCUAUGGAAAUACACAGGAAAUUCAUCCAGGCCUUUGUCUCUGGUCCCAGAUCUGGCAAAAACCUCUGGAAAUUUCAUUUCCUCACUGAUGAUGUAAUCUUUUUGCCAACCCAUGCCUUGGUGUUUCCCAAACUCUUUCCUCUCAACCUUGAGACAAUCACAAAUUCUUUCCCUAAACAGGCUUUCAAAGACCCAGGAGCUGGAGAUUUAGGGAUGUGUCCAGGUUACCCUGGAAGAUCUGUGGGAUGAUGGAGCUUCUCUUCCUCUACACCUCUUUUGAGUCAUGUGAAAAAGCCAAGUAUCUUGCUUCUAAAUUCAUAUGUUUUUGAGAAACCUACAAAGAGAUCUGCACAAGAGAGAAAGUGAAAAUUUCACUCCAAGAUUUCUUCCCUUGGCAAACAACAGAAGGUUUAGGACAAGCCUUUUCUCUAAGUGCCUGUUGCUUUGUUAGCUCUGUUUUCCAAAGACAUCUGUGUUGUGGAUCUGGUCAGAAAGAGUGGGAAUUCAGUGACUUUACUAGUUCUGGAUGGGGAUUCCUAUGAGAAAGCAGUGAAAACACGGGUGGACUUGAAAGAGUUGGGUCAAAGUCAGAAGGAGCAAGGUUUGAGUGAUAAUAUACUUUCCCCUGUGAUGAAUGGAGGUGUGCAAACUUGGACCCAGCCCCGGCUCUGCUAUCUCGUGAAGGAGGGAGGCAGCCAUGGCUUCUCUCUGAAAACUGUCCAAGGUAAAAAGGGGGUAUACAUGACUGAUAUUACACCUCAAGGUGUGGCUAUGAGAGCUGGAGUUCUGGCUGAUGAUCACUUGAUUGAAGUGAAUGGAGAGAAUGUAGAGGAUGCCAGCCAUGAGGAAGUGGUUGAAAAGGUGAAGAAGUCAGGAAGCCGUGUCAUGUUCCUGCUGGUGGACAAAGAAACUGACAAGCGUCAUGUUGAGCAGAAGAUACAAUUCAAAAGAGAAACAGCCAGUUUGAAACUGUUACCCCACCAGCCCCGAAUUGUGGAGAUGAAGAAAGGAAGCAAUGGCUAUGGUUUCUAUCUGAGGGCAGGCUCAGAACAGAAAGGUCAAAUCAUCAAGGACAUAGAUUCUGGAAGUCCAGCAGAGGAGGCUGGCUUGAAGAACAAUGAUCUGGUAGUUGCUGUCAACGGCGAGUCUGUGGAAACCCUGGAUCAUGACAGUGUGGUAGAAAUGAUUAGAAAGGGUGGAGAUCAGACUUCACUGUUGGUGGUAGACAAAGAGACGGACAACAUGUACAGACUGGCUCAUUUUUCUCCAUUUCUCUACUAUCAAAGUCAAGAACUGCCCAAUGGCUCUGUCAAGGAGGCUCCAGCUCCUACUCCCACUUCUCUGGAAGUCUCAAGUCCACCAGAUACUACAGAGGAAGAAGAUCAUAAGCCUAAACUCUGCAGGCUGGCUAAAGGUACAGAAGGGCGGUCCUGCUGACUUGGCUGGGCUAGAGGAUGAGGAUGUCAUCAUUGAAGUGAAUGGGGUGAAUGUGCUAGAUGAACCCUAUGAGAAGGUGGUGGAUAGAAUCCAGAGCAGUGGGAAGAAUGUCACACUUCUAGUCUGUGGAAAGAAGGCCUAUGAUUAUUUCCAAGCUAAGAAAAUCCCUAUUGUUUCCUCCCUGGCUGAUCCACUUGACACCCCUCCAGAUUCUAAAGAAGGAAUAGUGGUGGAGUCAAAGCAUGACUCGCACAUGGCAAAAGAACGGGCCCACAGUACAGCCUCACAUUCUUCUUCCAAUUCUGAAGAUACAGAGAUGUGAUGAAAACAAGUAAUAGCUUUGGCUGUUUAUUUGAUAGCUGUUUCUGGGUAUUUAAUAGGAAUCCUUUCUCAAAGAAUGAGUUGCGACCUGUUUACUGUCUCUUUAGAAGAAAAACUCCACUGGAAACCAUUCACCAUGUGUGAUUGUCUUCUGUUAUCAUUUGUCUUACAGGCGGCUAUUGCAGACGGCUAAUUUAUGCUUAACUUAGGAAGAGAUAAGGCAAGAGCUAGAUUUUUUUCAUGUGAUCUUUUCCAAGCUUCAACUUAACUACAUUUCUCUGUAUGAUGAUGUCUCUUACUUCUACAGGUUCCUUGAGCACCAAAGAUGAUUCAUAACUCUGUAUAGGUGACAGCUGCUUAUAAAAGCAUCUUAGCAGAUAAGCCUAUUAAAAUUGUGCUUUUGUAACAAUGUUGUGGUUGCUAGAAUAAAUACCAUUAAC
This 3498-nucleotide long non-coding RNA is filed under the name Homo sapiens (human). RNAcentral's name for it is "novel transcript". The record is from RNAcentral. Lineage: Eukaryota; Metazoa; Chordata; Mammalia; Primates; Hominidae.